UACGUAGGGUGCAAGCGUUGUCCGGAAUUAUUGGGCGUAAAGAGCUCGUAGGCGGUUUGUCGCGUCUGCUGUGAAAACUCGGGGCUUAACCCCGGGCCUGCAGUGGGUACGGGCAGACUAGAGUGCGGUAGGGGAGACUGGAAUUCCUGGUGUAGCGGUGAAAUGCGCAGAUAUUAGGAGGAACACCGGUGGCGAAGGCGGGUCUCUGGGCCGUAACUGACGCUGAGGAGCGAAAGCGUGGGGAGCAAACAGG
This 253-nucleotide ribosomal RNA is filed under the name uncultured bacterium. RNAcentral describes it as "partial 16S ribosomal RNA". It matches the Rfam family "Bacterial small subunit ribosomal RNA", at positions 524 to 776 of the family's 1533-position model. The record is from RNAcentral.